Molecule: ribosomal RNA, 138 nt
Filed under: Clostridium sp.
Lineage: Bacteria; Bacillati; Bacillota; Clostridia; Eubacteriales; Clostridiaceae
Description: partial 23S ribosomal RNA
Rfam family: Bacterial large subunit ribosomal RNA
Source: RNAcentral
UGAAGCCCACCUCAAGAUGAGAUUUCCCAUAGCAUAAGCUAGUAAGACCCCUUGAAGACUACAAGGUUGAUAGGUCAGAGGUGUAAGUAUGGUAACAUAUUUAGCUGACUGAUACUAAUAGGUCGAGGGCUUGACCAA